Molecule: transfer RNA, 71 nt
Filed under: Ovis aries (sheep)
Lineage: Eukaryota; Metazoa; Chordata; Mammalia; Artiodactyla; Bovidae
Rfam family: tRNA
About the family: Transfer RNA (tRNA) molecules are approximately 80 nucleotides in length. Their secondary structure includes four short double-helical elements and three loops (D, anti-codon, and T loops).
Source: Rfam by way of RNAcentral
UCCCUUGUGUCUCAGCAGUAAAGAAUCUUCCUGCAAUGCAGAAGACCCAGGUUCCAUCCCUGGGUGGGGAA